UUGGAAACCAACUUCAAACCAUUUGUUAAUCCAUUUCAUGUCAUUUUAAACCAUUACAUGUGAUUCUACAUAAGAAAAUACAAAAAUUGACAUUUUUUACCAAUUGUGGACUUUGGUAACAGUUGACUUUUUGGUCGACUUUGACCAAAGUCAACCCAAGACCCUAAUACCCUAAAUUUCAUAAUGAUCAUCAAUUCAAUGUCCAUUUGCAAUAAAAAUACAAAAAAAAAAGAAUAUUUGACCAAUUGUUGACUUUGGUCAACAAUGGACUUUUGGUCAACUUUGACCAAAGUCAAC
RNAcentral lists this long non-coding RNA (297 nucleotides) under Lathyrus oleraceus (garden pea). Its description in RNAcentral is "Pisum sativum (pea) long non-coding RNA (PSAT_LNC006238)". Lineage: Eukaryota; Viridiplantae; Streptophyta; Magnoliopsida; Fabales; Fabaceae. The record is from RNAcentral.